Molecule: long non-coding RNA, 294 nt
Organism: Eurytemora carolleeae
Lineage: Eukaryota; Metazoa; Arthropoda; Copepoda; Calanoida; Temoridae
Exons: 3
Source: RefSeq, a predicted model, not a curated record
UCUCAGAUACAAUGCCCAUUCUAAACUCACAAAUACGAGGUCUGCACAAGACAGAGAAGGCAAAUUUGAAGGAGGGGAUGACUAAGAAGCUGGAGCCAGGGAUGAACCUAAAGCUCUCAAUUGAGAAAGCCGACUUUGAUUAUGAAGUUCAGAUAAAACCAGUCUCUCAAGGCACAAAUCAAACAGCUCAGCAUGUAGAGUAACAAUAAUAAAAACUCACAGAGUUUGCCACUUUUGUUGUAAAAUUAUAACCUCUAAAAAUUAUGCGAGACAUAUAAAACGAUUCCUAAGAGA